This 151-nucleotide microRNA precursor is filed under the name Olea europaea subsp. europaea. Lineage: Eukaryota; Viridiplantae; Streptophyta; Magnoliopsida; Lamiales; Oleaceae. The record is from RNAcentral.
GUGCACAACAAAUCCUCCAAAUCCGAAAUCCCAUUACAUCUCUCUGCAUUUCCCCUUUUUGUACAAGUUCCUUCGUUUUCAUAUCCAGUAUCAAACCCCAUUGUGCAGAGAGAUGUAAUGGGGCUUAUAAUUUGGAGGAUUUGAUGUGCAG